This 389-nucleotide ribosomal RNA is filed under the name uncultured Glomeromycotina. RNAcentral describes it as "SSU rRNA". It matches the Rfam family "Eukaryotic small subunit ribosomal RNA", at positions 569 to 964 of the family's 1831-position model. The record is from RNAcentral. Lineage: Eukaryota; Fungi; Glomeromycota.
AGCAGCCGCGGUAAUUCCAGCUCCAAUAGCGUAUAUUAAAGUUGUUGCAGUUAAAAAGCUCGUAGUUGAAUUUCGGGAUCAAGGAAUCGGUCAUGCCUUGGUAUGUACUGGUUUUAUUGGUUCUCACCUUCUAAAGAACCAUAAUGUCAUUUAUUUGAUGUUAUGGGGAAUUAGGACUGUUACCUUGAAAAAUUAGAGUGUUUAAAGCAAGCUUACGCUUGAAUACAUUAGCAUGGAAUAAUGAAAUAGGACGUUUGAUUCUAUUUUGUUGGUUUCUAGGAUCGACGUAAUGAUUAAUAGGGAUAGUUGGGGCAUUAGUAUUCAAUUGUCAGAGGUGAAGUUCUUGGAUUUAUUGAAGACUAACUACUGCGAAAGCAUUUUGCCAAGGA